Molecule: long non-coding RNA, 1256 nt
Organism: Cynoglossus semilaevis (tongue sole)
Lineage: Eukaryota; Metazoa; Chordata; Actinopteri; Pleuronectiformes; Cynoglossidae
Exons: 3
Source: RefSeq, a predicted model, not a curated record
GCCGAGCAGGGGCCGCCGAGAGGGCACGGCAUGCUGCCCGAUUUCACUCAGGUUUGCCUCACCACCACGCUCCCCACAGAGCUAACGGACACCUCAUGGCCACGGAAUGCUGCCCAAUUUGACCCAGAAUUUGCUCACCUCCAACCCCCCCACGUCACAGAGAAAGAGAGAGGGAACAGGUACCUUUUGACCACGGCAUGCUGCCCGAUUUUACUCAGGAUUUGCACUCCUCCACGCUCCCCCACGCCACAGACUGAGAGAGAGAGAACAGGCACCUCAUGGCCACAGAAUGCUGCCCAAUUUCCCCCAGAACUUGCUCUCCUCCAACCCCACCACAACACAGAGAGAGAGAGAGAGAGAAGGAACAGGUACCUUAUGACCACAGAAUGCUGCCCGAUUUGACUCAGAAUUUGCUCACCGCCACGCUCCCCCCCAGAGGUCACGGGCACCUCAUGGCCACGGAAUGCUGCCCAAUUUUACUCAGGAUUUGCUCUCCUCCAACCCCCCCACGUCACUGACAGAGAGAGAGAGAGGUAACAGGCACCUCAUGGCCACAGAACUCUGACCAACUCUCCUCAGACUUCUCCCACGGAACCCUGGCCACUUUGACCCCACUACAGGCAACACCUCCAACAAGGCCACAAAACUCUGCCAAAUUCCUCCACACCGUGAGGGACAGCACCUGCUCGGCCAACAAACGACCCAAUCAUCAACCAAACACACCCAGGAGCUACAGCCCUCCACCAACCUCCUGCUACACAACUGAGCCCAACCACCAACAGGAACCUUCUCCAAAGACAACCAACUUCCCAGCACCUUGCUGCACUCCACUACAUCACAGCUACAUGCUAGCACCCACGGCCAUGUGCUACUAGCAUGACGCACAAACAACUGGAUCCAUGUGCUGCAUGCCAACCUCUUGUCUCAAACUACCCUGCUACUCUCUCUCCCACAGCUCCUCACCUCAUGUCUCUUACCUCUUCAAUAAACUAUAAUAAACCUGCUGCUUGUCUGUUGUGCCUCUGUCUGCCCACACUCCCAACACCACAUCACACAUGUGUUGUCACAAAGCAAGCCACACACUAACUACACCUUCCUUCACCACAACUCCCCAGUCCACAUCAACUUACAGCCUGUUGGUGCUGACAAUUACAUUCUUCACUCACCACUAUUGCCAUCUAACUGCCGCACUGCGCGGUGCACCACAGACACCAACAGCUUCGACACAGUUGCCUCACCUAAGUCUUAAAGUGUAU